CCUUCGGGUGGGGAUUAGUGGCGAACGGGUGAGUAACACGUGGGCAAUCUGCCCUGCACUCUGGGACAAGCCCUGGAAACGGGGUCUAAUACCGGAUACUGACCUGCCAAGGCAUCUUGGCGGGUCGAAAGCUCCGGCGGUGCAGGAUGAGCCCGCGGCCUAUCAGCUUGUUGGUGAGGUAAUGGCUCACCAAGGCGACGACGGGUAGCCGGCCUGAGAGGGCGACCGGCCACACUGGGACUGAGACACGGCCCAGACUCCUACGGGAGGCAGCAGUGGGGAAUAUUGCACAAUGGGCGAAAGCCUGAUGCAGCGACGCCGCGUGAGGGAUGACGGCCUUCGGGUUGUAAACCUCUUUCAGCAGGGAAGAAGCGAAAGUGACGGUACCUGCAGAAGAAGCGCCGGCUAACUACGUGCCAGCAGCCGCGGUAAUACGUAGGGCGCAAGCGUUGUCCGGAAUUAUUGGGCGUAAAGAGCUCGUAGGCGGCUUGUCGCGUCGGUUGUGAAAGCCCGGGGCUUAACCCCGGGUCUGCAGUCGAUACGGGCAGGCUAGAGUUCGGUAGGGGAGAUCGGAAUUCCUGGUGUAGCGGUGAAAUGCGCAGAUAUCAGGAGGAACACCGGUGGCGAAGGCGGAUCUCUGGGCCGAUACUGACGCUGAGGAGCGAAAGCGUGGGGAGCGAACAGGAUUAGAUACCCUGGUAGUCCACGCCGUAAACGGUGGGCACUAGGUGUGGGCAACAUUCCACGUUGUCCGUGCCGCAGCUAACGCAUUAAGUG
This 777-nucleotide ribosomal RNA is filed under the name Streptomyces coelicoflavus. RNAcentral's name for it is "bacterial SSU rRNA". It matches the Rfam family "Bacterial small subunit ribosomal RNA", at positions 77 to 866 of the family's 1533-position model. Lineage: Bacteria; Bacillati; Actinomycetota; Actinomycetes; Kitasatosporales; Streptomycetaceae. The record is from RNAcentral.